AGUUAAUUAGCUUAUAAUAUAAAGCGUAUACUUUGAAAGUAUAGGAAAGAUAUAUAAUUUAUUAACUU
RNAcentral lists this transfer RNA (68 nucleotides) under Dalbulus maidis (maize leafhopper). RNAcentral describes it as "tRNA-Ser". The record is from RNAcentral. Lineage: Eukaryota; Metazoa; Arthropoda; Insecta; Hemiptera; Cicadellidae.